UGGGGAAUAUUGGGCAAUGGACGCAAGUCUGACCCAGCAACGCCGCGUGAAGGAAGAAGGCUUUCGGGUUGUAAACUUCUUUUAAGGGGGAAGAGGAGAAGACGGUACCCCUUGAAUAAGCCACGGCUAACUACGUGCCAGCAGCCGCGGUAAUACGUAGGUGGCAAGCGUUGUCCGGAUUUACUGGGUGUAAAGGGCGUGCAGCCGGGAAUGCAAGUCAGAUGUGAAAUCCAUGGGCUUAACCCAUGGACUGCAUUUGAAACUGUAUUUCUUGAGUACUGGAGAGGCAAUCGGAAUUCCUAGUGUAGCGGUGAAAUGCGUAGAUAUUAGGAGGAACACCAGUGGCGAAGGCGGAUUGCUGGACAGCAACUGACGGUGAGGCGCGAAAGUGUG
Molecule: ribosomal RNA, 393 nt
Filed under: uncultured Oscillibacter sp.
Lineage: Bacteria; Bacillati; Bacillota; Clostridia; Eubacteriales; Oscillospiraceae
Description: bacterial SSU rRNA
Rfam family: Bacterial small subunit ribosomal RNA
Source: RNAcentral